UGGGGAAUAUUGCACAAUGGGCGAAAGCCUGAUGCAGCAACGCCGCGUGAGUGAUGAAGGCCUUCGGGUUGUAAAGCUCUGUCUUUUGGGACGAUAAUGACGGUACCAAAGGAGGAAGCCACGGCUAACUACGUGCCAGCAGCCGCGGUAAUACGUAGGUGGCAAGCGUUGUCCGGAUUUUACUGGGCGUAAAGGAUGCGUAGGCGGAUUUUUAAGUGAGAUGUGAAAUACCCGGGCUUAACUUGGGUGCUGCAUUUCAAACUGGGAAUCUAGAGUGCGGGAGAGGAGAAUGGAAUUCCUAGUGUAGCGGUGAAAUGCGUAGAGAUUAGGAAGAACACCAGUGGCGAAGGCGAUUCUCUGGA
RNAcentral lists this ribosomal RNA (362 nucleotides) under uncultured bacterium. RNAcentral describes it as "partial 16S ribosomal RNA". It matches the Rfam family "Bacterial small subunit ribosomal RNA", at positions 355 to 733 of the family's 1533-position model. The record is from RNAcentral.